This 447-nucleotide ribosomal RNA is filed under the name uncultured bacterium. RNAcentral describes it as "bacterial SSU rRNA". It matches the Rfam family "Bacterial small subunit ribosomal RNA", at positions 355 to 825 of the family's 1533-position model. The record is from RNAcentral.
UCGGGAAUUUUGGGCAAUGGGCGAAAGCCUGACCCAGCAACGCCGCGUGGAGGAUGAAGUAUUUCGGUAUGUAAACUUCGUAAGAAUAGGAAGAAUAAAUGACGGUACUAUUUGUAAGGUCCGGCUAACUACGUGCCAGCAGCCGCGGUAAUACGUAGGGACCAAGCGUUGUUCGGAUUUACUGGGCGUAAAGGGCGCGUAGGCGGUUUGUCAAGUCAGUUGUGAAAUCUCCGAGCUUAACUCGGAACGGUCAACUGAUACUGUCAAACUAGAGUACAGAAGGGGCAAUCGGAAUUCUUGGUGUAGCGGUGAAAUGCGUAGAUAUCAAGAGGAACACCUGAGGCGAAGGCGGGUUGCUGGGCUGAUACUGACGCUGAAGCGCGAAAGCUAGGGUAGCAAACGGGAUUAGAUACCCAAGUAGUCCCUGAGCGGGCUGGCAAGGCGCAU